AGCAGCCGCGGUAAUUCCAGCUCCAAUAGCGUAUAUUAAAGUUGUUGCAGUUAAAAAGCUCGUAGUUGAAUUUCGGGAUCAGUUGGUCGGUCGUGCCUCGGUACGUACUGGUCAAAUUGAUUCCUACCUUCUGACGAACCACGAUGUCAUUAAUUUGGUGUCGUGGGAAAUCAGGACUGUUACUUUGAAAAAAUUAGAGUGUUUAAAGCAGGCUCGCGCUUGAAUACAUUAGCAUGGAAUAAUGAAAUAGGACGUUUGAUUCUAUUUUGUUGGUUUCUAGGAUCGACGUAAUGAUUAAUAGGGAUAGUUGGGGGCAUUAGUAUUCAAUUGUCAGAGGUGAAAUUCUUGGAUUUAUUGAAGACUAACUACUGCGAAAGCAUUUGCCAAGGAUGUUUUCAUUAAUCAAGAACGAAAGUUAGGGGAUCGAAGACGAUCAGAUACCGUCGUAGUCUUAACCAUAAACUAUGCCGACUAGGGAUCGGAUGAUGUUAAUUUUUUCAAUGACUCAUUCGGCGCCUUA
RNAcentral lists this unclassified non-coding RNA (520 nucleotides) under uncultured Glomus. RNAcentral describes it as "SSU rRNA". It matches the Rfam family "Eukaryotic small subunit ribosomal RNA", at positions 569 to 1090 of the family's 1831-position model. The record is from RNAcentral. Lineage: Eukaryota; Fungi; Glomeromycota; Glomeromycetes; Glomerales; Glomeraceae.